GGUGAACGCUGGCGGCGUGCUUAAGACAUGCAAGUCGAACGCAGUCUUCGGACUGAGUGGCGCACGGGUGAGUAACACGUAACUGACCUCCCCCCAAGUCGCGGAUAACUGGCCGAAAGGUCAGCUAAUACGUGAUGGGAUGUACCCUUUCUGGGGGGCCAUUAAAGGUUUACUGCUUGGGGAUGGGGUAGCGUUCCAUCAGUUAGUUGACGGGGGAAAGGCCCACCAAGGCAACGACGGAUAGCCGGCCUGAGAGGGUGGCCGGCCACAGGGGCACUGAGACACGGGUCCCACUCCUACGGGAGGCAGCAGUUAGGAAUCUUCCACAAUGGGCGAAAGCCUGAUGGAGCGACGCCGCGUGAGGGAUGAAGGUUCUCGGAUCGUAAACCUCUGAAUCAGGGACGAAAGACGCGUAAGCGGGAUGACGGUACCUGAGUAAUAGCACCGGCUAACUCCGUGCCAGCCGCCGCAGUAA
This 475-nucleotide ribosomal RNA is filed under the name uncultured bacterium. RNAcentral describes it as "partial 16S ribosomal RNA". It matches the Rfam family "Bacterial small subunit ribosomal RNA", at positions 28 to 523 of the family's 1533-position model. The record is from RNAcentral.